This 478-nucleotide ribosomal RNA is filed under the name uncultured bacterium. Its description in RNAcentral is "partial 16S ribosomal RNA". It matches the Rfam family "Bacterial small subunit ribosomal RNA", at positions 28 to 523 of the family's 1533-position model. The record is from RNAcentral.
GACGAACGCUGGCGGCGUGCUUAACACAUGCAAGUCGAACGGUAAGGCCCUUCGGGGUACACGAGUGGCGAACGGGUGAGUAACACGUGGGUGAUCUGCCCUGCACUUCGGGAUAAGCCUGGGAAACUGGGUCUAAUACCGGAUAGGACCACUGCCUGCAUGGGUGGUGGUGGAAAGCUUUUGCGGUGUGGGAUGGGCCCGCGGCCUAUCAGCUUGUUGGUGGGGUGAUGGCCUACCAAGGCGACGACGGGUAGCCGGCCUGAGAGGGUGACCGGCCACACUGGGACUGAGAUACGGCCCAGACUCCUACGGGAGGCAGCAGUGGGGAAUAUUGCACAAUGGGCGCAAGCCUGAUGCAGCGACGCCGCGUGAGGGAUGACGGCCUUCGGGUUGUAAACCUCUUUCAGCACCGAUGAGGCGCAAGUGACGGUAGGUGCAGAAGAAGGACCGGCCAACUACGUGCCAGCCGCCGCAGUAA